This 59-nucleotide transfer RNA is filed under the name Alectorobius peropteryx. RNAcentral describes it as "tRNA-Phe". Lineage: Eukaryota; Metazoa; Arthropoda; Arachnida; Ixodida; Argasidae. The record is from RNAcentral.
AUUCUUAUAGUUUAAAUAAAAUAUAAUAGUGAAAAUAUUAAGAUAUAAAUUUAAGAAUA